GGGGGGGGGUGCCUAAUACAUGCAAGUCGAGCGGACAGAUGGGAGCUUGCUCCCUGAUGUUAGCGGCGGACGGGUGAGUAACACGUGGGUAACCUGCCUGUAAGACUGGGAUAACUCCGGGAAACCGGGGCUAAUACCGGAUGGUUGUUUGAACCGCAUGGUUCAAACAUAAAAGGUGGCUUCGGCUACCACUUACAGAUGGACCCGCGGCGCAUUAGCUAGUUGGUGAGGUAACGGCUCACCAAGGCAACGAUGCGUAGCCGACCUGAGAGGGUGAUCGGCCACACUGGGACUGAGACACGGCCCAGACUCCUACGGGAGGCAGCAGUAGGGAAUCUUCCGCAAUGGACGAAAGUCUGACGGAGCAACGCCGCGUGAGUGAUGAAGGUUUUCGGAUCGUAAAGCUCUGUUGUUAGGGAAGAACAAGUACCGUUCGAAUAGGGCGGUACCUUGACGGUACCUAACCAGAAAGCCACGGCUAACUACGUGCCAGCAGCCGCGGUAAUACGUAGGUGGCAAGCGUUGUCCGGAAUUAUUGGGCGUAAAGGGCUCGCAGGCGGUUUCUUAAGUCUGAUGUGAAAGCCCCCGGCUCAACCGGGGAGGGUCAUUGGAAACUGGGGAACUUGAGUGCAGAAGAGGAGAGUGGAAUUCCACGUGUAGCGGUGAAAUGCGUAGAGAUGUGGAGGAACACCAGUGGCGAAGGCGACUUCUCUGGUCUGUAACUG
This 725-nucleotide ribosomal RNA is filed under the name Bacillus sp. TMNR2.7.1. RNAcentral describes it as "bacterial SSU rRNA". It matches the Rfam family "Bacterial small subunit ribosomal RNA", at positions 38 to 742 of the family's 1533-position model. The record is from RNAcentral. Lineage: Bacteria; Bacillati; Bacillota; Bacilli; Caryophanales; Bacillaceae.